RNAcentral lists this ribosomal RNA (267 nucleotides) under uncultured bacterium. Its description in RNAcentral is "partial 16S ribosomal RNA". It matches the Rfam family "Bacterial small subunit ribosomal RNA", at positions 88 to 354 of the family's 1533-position model. The record is from RNAcentral.
UGGUUUAGUGGCGGACGGGUGAGUAACACGUGAGCAACCUACCUUUCAGAGGGGGAUAACAGUUGGAAACGACUGCUAAUACCGCAUAACGUUGUAAAAGGCAUCCAUUUACAACCAAAAGAGAAAUCUGCUGAAAGAUGGGCUCGCGGCCGAUUAGAUAGUAGGCGGGGUAACGGCCCACCUAGUCAACGAUCGGUAGCCGGACUGAGAGGUUGAACGGCCACAUUGGGACUGAGACACGGCCCAGACUCCUACGGAAGGCAGCAG